This is a long non-coding RNA of Acipenser ruthenus (sterlet), 3052 nucleotides long. RefSeq lists it as uncharacterized. The transcript has 3 exons. NCBI's taxonomy places the organism in Eukaryota, Metazoa, Chordata, Actinopteri, Acipenseriformes, Acipenseridae. The record is from RefSeq and is a predicted model, not a curated record.
CACAAACACGUCAACUUGGAGAGACAGCCAUUUAUUUAUUUUUAAAACCAGAAAACAAACAACAUCGAAACGCAAUGCAGCGUAAUUUUGCGGUGCUGUUUGCCUACAAUACACAGAAUGAACUGUGUAUAUGCUGGUUGUGUUUCAGAAUAUUACCAGAAAGUUUCGAUUUACAGAACAUUACCAGAAAGUUUUAAUCAUAGUAAACAACAUGCAUUUACUAGGGCAGUAUGGCAAAUUAAAGUUGUAUGCAUUUUAAUGUAUUUUUAUAUGACUCGUCAGUGUACCUCAACUAUCUGUAGAAAAAAAACUGCACAUGUGUCAAUCGUUUUUAAUUUCAUCGUUGUGUUAAUAAAUAUCUCUGUCUAAUUAUACAUAGGUGAUAUGUGCUUAAAUAUACCGCCUAAUCAUGCCAAGAUGCUUGAUAUUCAGGAUUGCUUUGCGCCCUCCCUGUUGAAAAAUGUCCCUCCUAUGUGCACUAAAGGCAUCAUUCUGCAAGAACUGAAGCAUAUGUUCAAAAUUAUUACUAAAGAUGACAAAUUAAAAGUCAUUCCAAAGUGCAACAGCGUGUUUGGUGUGGAAAUUGAUGGAUUUGUUUCCCAUAGCUACAGCAGGAAGUCCCAGCUAAGACCAAGCGAGCAUUCCGCUAAGAAAUUUAAAGUGAAAGGAACCACAGACCUUUAAUCAGGUGCCAGUGAAGCUGAAGCAGACUCAGGAUAUGUCACCAGCUCCCCCGCAGAAACUAAUGGAAAGAGAUGUGCAUCUGCCAGAUGGAGUAUAAAAGGAACUUAGCUACCUGGAAAAAGAUAUUGAUUGGCAUGUCUCUGGAGAAACAAGCCAUUCAUUUCACUUUGUACUUUUAAUUUCCACCAUUAAAUGCUAAUCAGAUUACAUUCAGUAAUUAGUACUCUCUUUUAUAAGUGGCAACCAAGCAUUGCAGUGUACUCACCAUUUAGGUUAACCCUGUAACCAUAAGGCAUGAGGAAGACUGGAAUUAAAUGGUGUGUGUUGUAAAAUAUUCUGUCUCUAUCCUAGGUGGACAACAACAAAAGCACAAGUACAGUCAAACCUGCUCAUGCGACCACCAUUAUAUAGCAACCACCUGGUCUAAGUGACAACUUUAAAUUCCUCCCAAUGAUAUUUGUAUAUUUUUAUUUUUGUUCACGUGACUGUGUUUUGAGCCGAUUCAAUAUCUUAAUGAAACUGUUAAUUACUGAACAAAGUCGCUUCUUUUUACCUUGAUGUCCUGAUUGACUUGCUGAUUUUGUUUCACCUUCUUCAUUAUUCGAACACAAGAGCAAGCAAUGACAUUAAUCACUCCCCCCAGAUGCUACUUUAACUUGCAUUUCGUUCUCACACUUGCCUGGGAACUGGGUAGCUUCCAAUGUGUCAGUUUCGUGUUGUGUUGUUCUUUCCCGCUAAUUUAACAAAAUGUUCUCAUAAUUAGGACGUAGCGGCUCAAGACUUAAAGGCAAACCGUUAAAAGGAAAAUGAACACCGAAAAAUUCAAGCCAUACUUAGAAGAGUAUGAAAACAAUGUGCGCGGUAAUCGAAAAAUAUCUUAUGCUUAUGCUGGCGUUGGUUUCAGGAUGCAAUGAAGCAACACGUACCUGAAAGGCAGACACAGGCAUUGAAAUGUGAAAAGGAUUUAAAACAUUUUGUGUCACCUGAGACAGGCAAGCAUUCAUUACUUUCACAAAAUAAUUUGUUUUGUAAAUGCAUUAUCUAAAUGAAUGUUAUUAAAUGACAUACUUCCUUUUGUUCAUAUUACAUCUUCUAGCUUUUACAGUGUAUGUAAGACAUACAUAAUUACAGAAGGCAUGUCAGAGACAAAUGGAAAAUUCACAAGUUAUGGACUCUCUUUACAGGUUUGACUGCAUAAUGAUCAGAUGAAGUUCUUUCAUCAGUCACUAAUCCAGUGCAAACCUUUUUUUUUUUGAUUGACAUGCAAGUGAAAGAAAAAGAAGAAGGAUUGGCGCAUAAUAUAAGUACUGUACUGCUCUGGUUCUUUAUCAAAGUUGCUAAUUCCAAUUCACAAAGUGAUCUACUUAAAAAAAAAAAAAAAAAAAAAAAAUACACACAAAAAAAAUACCAAUGAAGCCACCUUUCUUGCUGUCAAAGUGCAAUCUUGUGUAAGUCCACUAGGUGGCCCUUGACUACACUUUUCUCUCAAAAGAUGUUCUGCACUGAUGUAAGUGAACAAUGCCUUCGGUAAGUAAAACUAUAUUAAACUACGGAGAAAAAUGCUUUAGCGUUAACAUACAAUGUAUAAUGAUUUACACUGCAACAAGAUUAGAUAUAACCUUUCUAAAAAAAAAGAAAUCAAUGCAAGAUCCACAUAAAGCACAACAUUUUGAGUUAAAUCUUUAGAACAGUACUUAACAGCUUGCUGUUUAUCUACACUGAAUACACCGAGAUGUGAUGUUUUAUUAGCAAGGUUGCACAGCCCUGAUGGAUAUUGCCUGGAGAGUUGACAGUAUUUGUCAGUCAUGCUAAUUGGUUUACAAAUGCAGUCAGAACACCAAAGUUAACAUCCAAAGUUUUGGUGUUAUUUUGCCACUUCAUUUAUCUGAAGUUAUGCCUUUGGAGAAAAAUUAAAACAAGAUAUGAUUUUAAUAUUAUGCAGAUUGAUAUGAAAACUCAUACAUAAGCUAUAUGUUUUUUAGAUUUUUUUUUUAAUAUAUAUAAGCCUGGUUAUCACAAAUAAACACACACACACACACACACACACACACACACAUAUAUUCCUUUACAUUGUCUACUCUAGUUUUUAUUGAGGCAUGUUUGGAAAGGUGGUUUGGAAACAUUUUGCUGCUCUCUUUUCUCAUAUAUGGCCAAUUUGUUAGACAACCUGCAUAAAUCUCCCUCUGUAUGUUUGGACAAAACUAUGGGUCAUGUUAGUUAACUUAAGAUGCACCAAUAAAUGAUUUAUAACAACAACAACAAAAAAGUCUUCAGAGGUGUGCCAUCUAGCCAAUUCUAGUCUUAGACAAUAGUCUCAAUCCGUGCACAAGAAUUCUUACCAUUCAUCUGAUGGUCAGUGAUUUUAGUU